Molecule: transfer RNA, 75 nt
Filed under: Sphaerodactylus townsendi
Lineage: Eukaryota; Metazoa; Chordata; Lepidosauria; Squamata; Sphaerodactylidae
Description: tRNA-Ala
Rfam family: tRNA (bases 7-67)
About the family: Transfer RNA (tRNA) molecules are approximately 80 nucleotides in length. Their secondary structure includes four short double-helical elements and three loops (D, anti-codon, and T loops).
Source: RNAcentral
GGCCCUUAGCUGACUCAACGGUACAGCAUCUGCUUGGCAUGUAGAAGGUCCCAGGUUCAAGCCCUGGCAUCUCCA